Molecule: long non-coding RNA, 37810 nt
Filed under: Marmota monax (woodchuck)
Lineage: Eukaryota; Metazoa; Chordata; Mammalia; Rodentia; Sciuridae
Source: RNAcentral
CCCCGCCUUCUGCGUCUCGGCCGGACGCGGCCGCACUCAGGUCCGCCGCCGCGGGGCGCUGCGGCCGCCCCGCCCCCGCCGCCGCCACCCGGUCGGUCCGUCGGUCCGUCAGCCAGUCACGGAGCGCGCGGCGCGGGAGCUGCCGGCGCUGUCUGCGUCUCCGGGGAAGGAGCGCCGCGCCUGGGGAGGAGGCGGUGGCUGGAGGAGCGCGAGCAGUGGCAACCCUGUCCGGGGCCGCGACGUUCGCCGGGGCCGCCGGAGGACUGAGCGGCUGUAGCGGUGAGUGCUCCUCCUCGCCCUCGGGGUCGGGGGAGGGAGUCGGCGGGGCCGGGAGCGCUCCCGCCUCCAUUUUCCCGGCGCUCUGCCCGGCCAUCCGGGCGCGGUGCGAGCGACCGCUGCCUGGGGCGGGGUCGCUGCCGGUCUCGAGCCGGCUGGUCUGCGCCGGGCGAGGAGCCUGCCGCCGGGCGAGGAGCCUGCCGGUGCGUGGGGGUCGGCGGGCCUGGGUUGCACCUCGCGCCCCUGGGGGCUGCACGGAGGGAGACAAUGAGAUCUGGGCCGCCUAGAGAGGGUGCGGUUGGGAUUCUCCGACCUGGCACUGGGGGGCUGGUGGCCCGGGACCGAAGGGAGGAAUGGACUGUUCGCCAACCAGCCGCAAAAACCUGUGACUCAAUGUGGCAUUGCUCAGGCUUCGAUGCCCCCCACCAUUCACAGAUGAGUUCAGUGCAGAGAUUUAGAAAGGCGGGGCGCCUUCUGCGUCUUCUCAUUAAAGAAGCUAAGUAAUCGCUCGCUCCAAUGCUUUUCAGCCCCGUUUUAUCUUUCCGUGUACAUUCCCGCCGGAAAUCUAAACUGCAGUUCAUUGGGGGUGGGGGCAGAAAGGGAGGCGGCAGUGUAAUAGUAUUAGUUGGGAUGCCUUCGUUUUAAGAUGGUCUCUACGAUGUAUUUUUCUUAAUUAGGCAGUGUCUUAGGGUGGCCCCACUGUGUGAGUUGGAAACCGCGUAUGCCUUAUACCUUGUAAGCACGAAGACGUGGCUUAGUGUGAAAUAAGAGCUUAUGGGUUUCACAUUGUUAACAUGAAUCUUGUGUAUUACAUUUCUUAUACUCUGUAGGAAGAGCAUUUGGGGCAAUGUGGGAGAAUGGAUAGAUUCUUUACUUAGUCUUCCAAUAAGGGUUGAUGUUGUCUGCAGCAUUUCCCAUGGAGAUAUGGAGAGCUGCCUAGCGUGUGAAGUCCACUGUAAAAGAACCGUAAAGGUAACGGGCUAGGGGUGAGGCGUGAUCGGAUUGUUAAAGGGUGGUAUUGAAUCCAUGAGAAUAUUAAAUUCAGUAGACAUAUGUGAAAUACCUACUCUCAGGCAGAGUAAAGGACACAGAGUGAACAAGAACUACAACUUGGGAUGGUUCAAAGAACUCUUUGGAGCUGGGUGGAGGGAAGGGGGUAGGAAACCAGUUCCAUAUGCACUGGAAUUGGCAACCUGAAUAAUCUGUUGAACUCUUAAGUAGUUCCCUAUCAGUAAACAGGAAUAACACCAUCUGUUUACACUUCCCCAGAUAGUUGUCAUCAGGAUAAAUGAGAUAAUAUAUGCGAAAGUAAUAGCACCUCUCCUGACACUGGGGUGUUUAGUAAAUGUUAAUCCCUUUUCUUCCUUUCCUACUGAUCUCUGAGGUUUUUUGAGGGGAGGGCGGGUAAAAAGUGGAUAUAGGUAAUUGUAGUAAUGUGGCACAUUAUAUAAUAAAUAUUGAAGUAAAGAUGUAGAAUAAGGUAGUCAAGGAGAGAGAUUGAUUCUAGAUUAUGGGCAUUGGGGGAAAAUCCUUUGAAGUGUUGGCGUUAAGGAUGGGUAGGAUUUCAACAGAUGGAGAGGGGAAGACAUUCCACCUGGAGGUGGUGCUUUCCUUUGAGAGCUGAAUUGAGCCUGAGGAUCAUUGGGGGAGGGGCAAAACAGAGACACAGAAAGGUUUUUAGCUCUUCUCGAGUCUUUCAGAUUGUCUGUUUUGUUUGUGUGUGUGUGUGUGUGUGUGUAUCUGGAUAUAGCUCUGUUCAAGUAAGUACAAAAAUAUCUGCAAAGCUUAAUACCUGAUUUCUUUUUGCAUUAAAUAUUUUGUGUUGUUUGAAUUGCUGCUCUCUUUUGUUUGAAUUUAGUAAUUAUUUGUAGAUCUUUCCUUGUGAUGAAUAUUGCUGUUUGUUAGAAGCAGCAACUAAUGUUUUAGUGACACUUUAGUGACACCAGUGUCACUAAGAUUACAUAGAAGGUUAUUUAUUGACUGAAAGGAGUGGCGUAUGGAGCACAUGGUAUGUUUUCACAAUUUUUAACAGUUUGUUUUCUGAAAAGGUAUUUUUGACCAUUGUCUUUUGAGGAUAAAAGUGACUACUAUAUGAUGUACAUUAAUUUAAGCACUUUAUUGACUUAUUGAAUCCUCACUAUAAACUUAUUCAAUAGAUUCAUUAUUAUUUGAGAAAAUAGGUACAGAUAAUAAGUUACUUGCCCCAAAACUACAGAGCUAUAAAGUAGCAGCCUAAUUCUUAAGCUUGUAUUCUUAACAAUUUUCCUGUGCUACUACUGUAGUAAAAUAAACAACACACACUUUAAAAAAAAAAAAACUUUGUGGUAAAUUAUAUAACAUAAAAUUUGCCCUUUUUUUUGGUGGUCAGUAUUUUUAGUGGUAUUAAGUAUAUUGAUACUGUUGUGCAACUAUUACAUUACCCAUCUCCAGAACUUUUUCAUUAUCCCCAAGCUGAAAUUCUACCCAUUAAAUCAUAAUUCUCCACCUACCCUUCAGCCUCUAGUAAUAAUUUUUCUAUUUCUGUCUUUAUGAAUUUGACUACUCCCGGUACUUCAUACAAGUUGAAUCAAACAUUUGUUCUUUCGUGUUUGACUUAUGUCGUUUAACAUAAUGUAAUCAAGAUUCAUCCAUACUCUAAUGUGUAUCAGAAUUUUUUUCCUUUUCUUAAAAUAUCUUUAAACUUAUAAAGUGUAUCAGAAUUUCUUUCCCACCCCCUCCAGCACUAAGAGUUGAACCCAGGGCUUUGGGCAUGCUAGGCAAGCAUCCUACCCCUGGGGAGGUACAUUCCCAGACCUUUUUUUUUUUUUUUAAUAUUUUUUAAUUGUUGAUGGACUUUUGUUUUUAUUUAUUUGUAUGUGGUGCUGAGAAUCAAACCCAGUGCCUCACGCAUACUAGGCAAGCAUGCUACUACUGAGCCACAACCCCAGCCCCCAGACCUUUUUAUUUUUGAGACAGGAUCUGGAUAAUUGCUCAGGCUUGCUUUAAACUUGAAAUUUUCCUGUCUCAGCCUCCUGAGUAGCUGAGUGUGUGCUUUCAUUCCUUUUUAAGAUGGAGUAAUGUGCCGUUAUAUGUGUAUACCAUAUUUAUGGACAUUUGAAUUGUUUCUACUGUUUGGUUAUUGUGAAUAAUGCUGCUGUGAACAUUGGGGUACAGAUGUCUGAGUCCCUUAUUUCAGUUCUUUGGGGUGUAUACCCAGAAGUGGAAUUGUUAGGUCAUAUGAUAAUUCUAUAGUUAAUUUUUGGGGAAACUACCAUAUUGUUUUUCACAGCAGUUGUGACAUGUUACAUCCCUACUAGCUGUGUGCAGGCUUUCUCCAUAUUCUUGUCAGUUCUUCUCCCCCCAUCCCCCCUGUGGUGCCGUGGAUUGAAGGCAGGACCCUGCACAUACUCUGCCACUGAGCUAUGCCCCCAGUUCCUUUCUUAAUAUAUGUGUAUAAAUAUACAUAUAUAUGUAUAUAUGUGUGUGUAUAUAUGUAUCUCCACACAUAUAGUGUGUGUAUGUACACAUAUGAAUAUAUUUUAUGUAUUUAUGUGUAUUUACAUAUAUUUGGGUAUAUAUACACACACACUUUUUAAAAAAUUGUAUUCAGUUGUAUAUAGACACAAUACCUAUAUUUUUAUUUAUUUAUUUUUAUGUGGUGCUGAGGAUUGAAUCCAGUGCAUCACACAUGCAAGGCAAGCACUUUACCACUGAGCAACAGCCCCAGCUCAUACACACACUUUUUCCAUGAUUGCUGCUAUAUGUGUGAAAUGGUGUCUCAUUGUGGUUUUCCUAAUGAAUGAUUAGUAAUGAUGACCAUCUUUUCAUGUGCUUUUUGGCCAUUGGUAUAUCUUUGGAGGAAUAUCUAUUCAAGUCCUUUAUUCAUUUUUAAAUUGUGUUUGUUGUUUUGUUGUUGUUGAGUUGGAGGAGUGUUUUUAUUUACUCUGGAUAUUAACCCCUUAUUAAAUAUAUGAUUUGCAAACAUUUUCUUCAAUUUUGUGUGUUGCCUUUUCACUGUCUUGAUAUUUUCUUGUAACACAUAAUAUUUUUAGAUGUAGAUGGACAAAUACCUUAUGUGGUGCUGAGGAUUGAAUCUGGUGCCUCAUACAUACAUGCUAGGCAAGUGCUCUACCACUGAGCUGUAGCCCCAGCCCCAUUAAAUUUCCUUUUUUCUGUUGUUGCCUAUGCUUUUUUUGAUCAUGUUCAAGAAAUCAUUGUCAAAUGCAGUUUGUGAAGUUUUCCCCUUAUACUUUAUUCUAGGAGUUUUGUAGUCUUAGCUCUUAAAUUUAUAUCUUUGAUCCAUUUUGAGUUAAUUUUGUAUAUGGUUUACAUAAGGUAUUAACUUCAUUCUUUUUGUCUGUAGUCCUUUCAGCACUGUUUGUUGAAAGGAUUAUCUUUUUCUUACUGAAUGGUCUUGGCACCUUCCCAUUCUCAUAUAUGUAUAUGUAUGUAUGCGUGUGUAUGUUUAAAAUUUUUAACACAUCGAAGAUCAUAGUACUACAUGGUUAUAUAUAAUUAAUUUUGUAGGGGGCAGACAUUCUGUCUUUACUGUCUCUGUGCUUGUAAAUUUUAAAUGGUCAUUGAUAAGGAAGGCCAUAGACUGAAGUAGAUUUUAUUUUAGAAAUCCAGUUCUUGUGCAGAUCUAUUUAUAAUUGUCUCAACAAUACCUUACUGUGGCAUAUGCAUGGUGCUCAGUUAAUAAACAAGACCUAGGCACAUUUCUUUGGGAGCAUACUCAUCCUGUGAUAGUCAUUUUGCUUAGUAACAAUGAACAUGUAACAGUAAGUUCUCAUAUUACAAAUUAGGUUUUUUAUAGCUCAUUGCAAGUUUUGAGUUUAUCUUGCCUUAUAAGCAGUUGUUAAAUAUUGUUAUUAAGUCAAUUUUGGAAGAAGAGAUUAUUGUUUAUUAUUUUUAAGUUUGGAUUCAUAUACUUGAGGCUACAGAGUGGACCCUUAAAAGCUGCAAACAAAACACUGCCUACUUGCAGCUAUUAUCUGGGCAAAAUUAAAGCAAGAUUUUUCGGGGCUGGGGUUGUGGCUCAGCGGUAGAGCGCUUGUCUCACAUGUGCAAGACACUGGGUUCUAUCCUCAGCAUCACAUAAUAAUAAAUAGAUAAAAUAAAACUACUGUGUCCAUCUACAACUAAACAUGUAUUUUAAAAAGUAAACAUGUUGCUGGGGUGCCAUGGCACAUGCCUAUAAUCCCAGCAGCUUGGGAGGUUGAGGCAGGAGGAUUGGGAGUUCGAAGCUAGCCUCAGUAGUGGCGAGGCACUAAGCAACUCAGUGAGACCCUGUCUCUAAAUAAAAAAUACAAAAUGGGGCUGGGGAUGUGGCUCAGUGGUCCAGUGCCCCUUAGUUCAAACUUCAGUAAAAUAAAUAAAUAAAUAAAGUAAACAUGUUAUUUAGGUGGUCAUAAGACUGUAACUAAUAUAUCUAAUUCACACCUUCUCCAGCUUAUAAGAAGUUAACAUAAUGUACUUGAACAAAAAAAUAACAUUAGCAACACUUUAGCCAGUUUUACAUGGGAUACUCAUAUAAAAUUUCAUCCAGAAAAAUUUUAUUGUGAAAUAGUAGUCAACUUCCAGAUUUAUAAUUUCUAAAGUUUCAUCCCAUGCUAUUAUUUUAAUCUAAAAUAUUUACCACACUUUGAGGUUAGUAUCUUAAAGCACAUGAUUCAUGGUUUAUACACUGGCUUUUUUAAAGAAAUAUAUACUUUAAAAAUAUAAAAAUAUAUGCUGUUAAUAAAAUGCAUACUGUUUCUCUGCAUUAGGUGCAUCUAGGCAUAAUCAAGAAAGCAAAGAGACAAAUAUUCUCCAAAAUAAAAAGGAUGCCAUUUUAAGUGGCACUUUAAGACAGGACUCGGUAGAGAAUGUGAUUGAAGAAGCUGGUUCUACAAAAAAGCAGGCCUAGGAGUUAAAACCAAGUGAAGAGCCAGGUGUGCAGUGGCACCCGCCUAUAAUCCCAGGCAGGAGGAUUGUGAGUUUAAAGCUAGCCUCAGCAAUGGCAAGCAACUCAGUGAGACCUGUCUCUAUAUAAAAUACAAAAUAGGGCUGGGGAUGUGGCUCAGUGGUCAAGUGCCUCUGAAUUCAAUCCCCAGGACCAAAAAAAAAAAAGGUGAAGAGAUUAGAUUUGGAAAAGUGAGACAGUUCAUUAGAUGCGGAAAAAAAAGCAAGAUUGAGAGGUCUAUGAUAAUGUUUUAUCAUUCUGUAAGACUAUUAUAAGCUCCUUGAAGAAUGGUAACAUGUAGUGAAAAUUGACUCUAAAAAUAGUAGAUAGACCCAAAUACUAUAGAAUCAUAAGUCACUUUUGUAACUACACUUUAAAAAAAUGGUAUGCCUUAACCCUUUAGGACAAUCUUACUAAGUUUGAGAUGUCAAGAAAAGUGUUAGCUAAGUCAGAACCACAAGACAACUACUGUAACUUGCAAAUAUAAAUAUAUUCUUUAUGUCAUAAAGAAUUGUGCAUGCCUCAGUCCUCUAUGCACAAUUCCCAAGCAUAGUUUUUCUCCCUAAUUUUUCCAGUCAAAAACCUAUUUAUCCUUUGGACCCAGCUGCAUUGCUGUGAAUCUCUCUGAAGCUGUGAAAGCAGAAUUAAUUGCUUUCUUCAUCAUGCCUAUAGGCCUUACUUGCUUUGCUUUAUGUUGUAGUUAAUCGUGUACUGUUUUACAUUUCAUUGUGUUCUGCAGUAUCACACCUGGUUUUACUCAUCUAAAAUAUACCCCUUGGUCCCUUAAGUGUACAUGAUAGAAAUUCAGUGAUAAGGUUUUCAUGAAAGCCUUUAUUUAAGGAAUUCUUUUUUUUUUUUAAAGAGUUUGUAAUGUUUUUUCUUUAAUACCUUUAUUCCUUUCAUUUUUUUUAUUUUAUUUUUUAAAAAUAUUUUUUAGUUAUGGAUGGAUGCAAUAUCUUUAUUUUGUUUAUUCAGUUUUAUUUGGUGUGAGGAUCUAACCCAGUGCCUCACAUGUGUGAGGCGCACUCUGCCACUGAGCCACAACCCCAGCCCCCCCAUUCAUUUAUUUUUAUGUGGUGCUGAGGAUCAAACCCAGGGCCCUGGGCAUGCUAGGCAGGCACUCUACCGUUGAGCCACAAUUCCAGCCCCUUUAAGGAAUUCUUUGUAGCUCACAUUAAAUCUAUUGUUUAUUUUAUUUAUAAAGUUUAAUUAUUUCUUGGCUCAUUAGUUUAUUUCAUAUUGUAACAGAUUACAUUGGAAAAUGGUGAAGGAAAUUAGUGAUUCCCCCGUAUCUGUGAGUAGUAUGCCUUGUGUUAGCAAUGGUUAAAAAACCUUUUUGUUUACCCUAUGUUUCAAAAAUAAAUUGUACAUUUUAAAGCAAAAGCAGUGAACAUGAAAACCUUGGUUUUUAGUACUUGGUGAUAGGGAAUUUCCAAAGUCUGAGUCUAAUCUGUUUUCUUUGGUACUUGUUUUUGAUAUUGUUAUUAAUCGAAAGGAAACUCAUUAAGGAACUUGUAAUCAAAAGAGCAGGUACAUAUUUGGCUGUACUUUCUGAAUGCAAAUACUCAUAAUUAAGUUUCUGUCCAGUGUUUAUACAGGUUUGACUUAGAGUUUGCUUUUCUUAUAUCAGUAGGCUGUUCUUGCAAACCAAUUCAAGAUACAUUGAAAUGCUGUUGGAAGGUGUUUUAAUGUUAGAAAUGGCUUCUCUGUUCAAACAGAAUGAAUGUACAGGUAUGAGAGUUUUUGUUUUUGUUUUUUUCAGAAUACAGUUAUUCCUAAAUUUUAAGCUCUCUUACCUUUAAGGGACAGGCAGAUUUACCAUGUUUUUGUUUUUUAAAAAUAAAAGCUAGGUAGCAUAUUGCCACAACCACUUGUCAAUCAUGAAAAGUUAUCAAAUUUAGUUUUUGUUGAUGUAAAAGUUAAAUACUUAACUCAUAUUUUAAACAUCAACUCUUUUUUUAUUUUUUUUAGUUGUAGAUGGACACAAUAUCUUUAUUUUUAUUUAUUUUUUUUAAUGUGCUGAGGAUCAAAAUCAGGGCCUCACAUAUGCAAGGGGAGGGCUCUACCACUGAGCCACAACCCCAGCCCAAAUAUCAACUUUUUAAAAAUACUUUUCUAUGAGACAGCCAAUAAAGCUGUUUGCUACAAAAUACUAAGGUCACUCCUCAGCCACAUCAAUAACAUCCUGGAACCCUUGGCUCUUUUCUUGCUUCAUCUUCUCUUUUGCUGCAGUAUUUGGUUUUUAAAAUUAAACAUCCUCAUCCCCAGCUUUCUUUUAUUAAGGUCAAAGCAGCUGCUUCAUGAAAGCUGCUACAGAUUUUGUGUUACAGUUUUCCAUCAAUCAUUGUUUCUAUUAAGGAAAUUAUUUACUGGAACACCAGUCUCUGGUAACAGUUUACAAAAAAGGUAAGUUAUUUCAUUACUGAAAAAAAUGUAGCAAAUACUAUCACUCUUUCUCUUGAGACUUAGAAUUGCUUACUACCUGAAUACUUAGCUUACUUUAUAUGUAUGACUGUCUGAGAGGUGGCCACAAUAAAGAUGCCAGUGUCACCCUGCAUGUUAAAAGAUAUAUAUUAUAGUUAGAAUACACAUAUAUAUAUAUUAAGAUAAAGAUUAAAUAAAAAUAGAACUUCUAAUAUGAUAUCCAGUGAAUUAUCACUCAUCUCCUAAGGUAUGAAUCACCUCAGUUUUGAAAACAUUUACACACAUAUAUGUAUAUAUAUAUAUAUAUGUGUGUGUGUGUGUGUGUGUAUGUAUAUGUAUAUAUUUAAGUUGUUGAUUAACCUUUAUUUAUUUAUAUGUGGUGCUGAGAAUCAAACCCAGUGCCUCACUCAUGCCAGUCAAGUGCUCUACCGCUCAGCCAUAGCCCCAGCCCCUUGAAAACAUUAUUAAUUGAAUUUAUAUUGUUCAUAAUGAGCCUUUCAUAUUAUUUCAUUUCAUACUGUAUAAUAUUCUUAUGCCAUCUUAAAAAUAAAUGACUAUGGACAAGACAUUCUGGUUCUUUAACUGGAAAAUAAUGUUUUUGAAAAAAAGGAGGUAAAUGUCAGCAAAGUGAGACCUUAAUAAAAUUUAUUCUUUCCCACAGUUGAAACUGUGGGACCUGUUUCAGAAACUGUAGACCUGUUUCAGAAGCCUAAAUUUGGAUUUUGCAUUUUUCUUUCAGAAAUUGUUCAGGUAAAUCAAAAGUACCAAUUAAAUAUGAGUUUAGUUAUUCAGUAGUAUCUGAUAGAAUUUUUUUCAUGUCCGUAGUAAGAUUUUUUUCCCCUCAGUACCCCUAGCAAGACAUAAAAUAUUUCCCAUGAUUCUAUCAUUGACCUUUUUAGUCUCAACUUCUUACCAUCUCUGAAGCAACUGCAGUCGCAAUUGCUUCACACCAGGUAAGUUUUUCCUGUUCUGUAACUUCAUGUUAAUUGAAUCCUAUCUAUGUAUAUUUUGUCUCUAGCUUCUUGUACUCAGCAUAAUUUUAGAUUUCUUUGUUAUUGCAUAUAUCAAUAGUUUCUUUUUAUUACUGAGUAAUAUUCAGUUGUAUGUAUAUGCCAUAAAUUGCUUAUCCAGUUUCCUGUUGAUGAGCAACAGAUCUGGUUCCACUUUGGAAUAAUGAAGAAAACAACUGUGAACAUUUUUGUAGGAGACUUUUUUGUGACUCUACUUGGAUAAAGGAGAGGGAUUGGUAGAUGUUCCUCCUUUGAACUAUAUUAAGAAAAGUGCACAUUAUCAGAAGUGUACAUGUUUUCAAUUCCUGUAUAACCAGUACACAGAUGAAAGAAAAUUACCAGUGUGUCAGAAGUGUUCUUCAUUGACUUCUCAAUACCUCAGCACUCUCAUGAAUAGUCACUGUCUUUACUUCUUUUUUGUGGGGAGGGGGGUACCAGGGAUUGAACUUAGGGGCACUCAAACACUGAACCAUGACCCCAGCCCUAUUUUGUAUCUUUUUUUACAGACAGCCCACAGCCUUAACUUCUAACUCUAAUUCUGCUAUGAAGUAUUUUGGCUUUUUUUUUUUUAAUAUAUAUUUUUUAGUUGUAGAUGGACACAGUACUUUUAUUUUAUUUUUGUAUGGUGCUAGGGAUCGGACCCAGCGCCUCAUGCAUGCUAGACAAGCGCUCUACUUGAGCUCUUACUCAGCCACAACCCUGGCCCCCCAGCUUGCUUGUUUUAUAAAAAAAUUAUUUUUACCACUUUGUUGAGAUAUAAUUUCUAUAUAAUAAACUGCAUAUAUUAAAGCAUACAAUUUGAUAAGUUUUCAUAACACUUAUUAAACCAUUACAACAAGAUAGCAAAUAUUGGUUAGGUGCAGUGGCGCACACCUGUAAUCCCAGCAGCUUGGUAGGCUGAGGCAAGAGAAUCGAGAGUUCAAAGCCAGCCUCAGCAAAAGUGAGACACUAAGCAACUCAGUGAGACCCUGUCUCUGAUCUUUUUUUUUUUUUUUUUUUUUUAGGUGUAGGUGGACACAACACAAUGCCUUUAUUUUUAUGUGGUGCUGAGAAUCGAACCCGGGUCCUGCCUAUGCUAGGCAAGCGCUCUACCACUGAGCCACAAUCCCAGCCCCGAGACCCUGUCUCUAGAUAAAAUACAAAAUAGGACUGGGGAUGCGGCUCAGUGGUCAAGUGUCCCUGAGUUCAAUCCUGAGUACCCCCCCUCCCCAAAAAAAAAAAGAUAGCAAAUAUCUAAAAGUUUCUUUGUAUACUUUUGGAUUUUAUGCCACUCUUAACCCAUCUCCUAGCAGCCUGUUCUCCACACCCCUGCCUGGCUUGUUUUCAUGCAGAAUAAUGAUUUUUAGAUUGUUCCGUAUUGCCUAGAUUAGUUCCUUUUUUAUUGCUGAAUGUUAUUCCAAUAUGUAUAUAUACUAUGUUUUGUGGGCUUUUUCCAUUUUUGGCUUUUACAGAUAAUGGUGGUAGGAUAUCUGUGGACAUAUUUUCAUUUCUCUUAGAUAAAUUCCUAUGAGGGCAUGCUAGGUUUUAGGAUAGGUAUAUUUUUAACUUUUUAAGAAAUGGGCGAAUUUUUCCAAAGGUGUACCAUGUUAUAUAUCCAAUAGCAAUUAGAUAGUAUUUCUUAUUGCUCUAAGUCUAAACACUUGGUAUUGUCAAUCUUCCUGGAUAUAGUGAUCUCUCAUUGUAGUUUUAAUUUGUAUUUCUCAGAUUAUAAAUACUGUUGAUCUAGUUUUCAUGUUCUUGUUAGCCAUUUUGAAAGUAGCUAUACAAAUAUUUUGCCAUUUUAAAAAUUGGGAUAUAUAUGUUUUUAUUAACUUGUAACAAUUCUUGGUAUAUUUUACAUAUAAGCCUUUAUCAGAUAUAUAUGUGAAUAUUUUAAUUUGUGGCUUUCCCAUUUAUUUUUUAGUAGUGUCUUUCAAAAAGCAGAAGUUUUUACACUGGACUUCACCAAAAUUAUUAUUUUUUUCUUUUAUAGUUAGUGUUUUCUUGUUUUAAUAAAUUGCUGUUACCAAAGUUGAAAAGAUAUAAUUAUGUAUUUUCUCCUAGGAGCUUUAUAAUUUUACCUCUUGAAUUGCAAUCUGUAAUCCAUUUCAAAUUAAUUUUUGCUUAUGGUAUGAGCAUGGGGAUUGAAACUCCCCUCCCCCCAUAUUUUACCUAGUUUCCCAGCAUCAUUUGUUAACACUUUCUUUUCCUCAUUACCUACUUAGACUUUGACAUCCUUGUUGAAAAUCAUUUUGUAUAAUCAUGAGCCUGUUAUUAGACUCACCAGUAUGUUACAUUGAUUUAAUUUCAUGUCCUUUUGCCCAUACUUCAUUGUCUUAAAUAUAGUCCUAACAUCAAAUACAGUAAGUGCUUCAAUCUUCAAGAUUGUUGUGGCUAUUUUUAGUCAUUUGUUUUUCCAUAUAAAGUUUAGAAUCACCCUGUAAGUUUCCAUAAAAAAAUAAAGAAGUUUGCUUGGGAUAUUGUUUGUAAUUACAUCAACCAUCUAAUCAGUUUGGGGAGAAUUGACAAUAAUAUUGCAUUUUCCAAUUCAUUAAUAUGGUGUAUCUGUCCACUUAUUUCUUUAAUUUAUGUUUUUAAUUUCUCCUGGUAGUCUCAUGUAUUUCCUUUGCCUUAGAAUGUUAUAUAAACAUUAUGCUCUCCUGUUUCUAUUUUUUAAAUGGCCAAAUCAUCCUUUACACAUGCUUUGUUUUUAUGAUAUAAAUUAAGAUUUGGUAUUUCUAUCUUCCUUAUGAUAUCUGAUUUGUAGAUAUCAUAUUCCUCUAGAAAUAGAGGAAACCAAAAGAGAUACUUUUAGAAAUAUAAAACUAGAAGUUUAGACUGUCUAAUUGUUGGCACAAUUCUUUUGGCUUAUAUGGUUGUGGAUACUCAUUUAUUGAGGAUUAUCUUUAUUAAUAUAGUCGGAUAUUUUUAAAAUCAGAAGUAAAAUUGAAUCCUAUCAGUUUAUUGGGAGCAUAUGUUUUUAUCAGAGGAUUUUCUUGAGUGUGUAUUUUAUGGUUUGCUUUUUUUACUGAUAAUAUUAAUGGAAAUAUGCAACAGAAAAUAUAUAAAGACAAUAAAACAUAUUCCUACCACCCAGAAAUGACCAUAGUUAAGAUUUUUGCUAUAUUUUCUCAUGUGUAUAUAUAUUUGUUUAACUCAUUUUGGGGUACACAGCUUAGUUCUGUUUCUUCCAUUCAGAAUGUUUGAUUUUGCUGAGCCUACUUGUGUGCAAUCUUUAUCUAAACAUUUUGAAUUUUUUUUAAAGUUAUCUUUAAACCCAAUUAGAAUAUGUAGACAUGCACAUAUUCACCUCCAGCAGUAAUUUGUUAUUUAUAUUUGCUUCAAGUAAGACAUGUAGCAUGUACAAUGAAAGCUCUCUUCAGGAUAAUUUAUUUUGUCCCAUGCACAUUUCAGUACUAUUUCAUACACGUGUAUAUUCACAGAAUUUUAUUUAUUUAUUUAUUUAUGUAUUUGGCAGUACUGGAAGUCAAAUCCAGAGCCUUUUGCAUGCCAGGCAAGCUACAUACAUCCCCAGCCCUUUUUAAAAUCUUAUUUUGAGACAGGGUCUUGCUAAAUUGCCCAUACAGGCCUUGAACUUGCAAUCCUUCUUCAGUCACCUGAGUAGCUGAGAUUACAGGUGUGUGCCUCCAUAACCGAUUUAUUCAUAAAAUUGGUUUAUUCAUAAAAUUUUAUUGCUGUUCUGUGGGUUUGAGUUUUUUAUGCUAACCUUUGUAAAAAGUACAUUUUAACUCCUUAGGAUUGACAUUAUCCAUACUGGUUCUUAUAAAUCCAGCUUAUUCUCUUUUAUCAGAAUAAACCAUUUUUCCAUUUUUCCCAUGGGAGUUAGAUGGUUAAGAGGUCACAGUCAACAUCAUUUUACCUUUCUCCUGGUGCUUGUCUCUCUGAGUUGGGCAUUUAGAAAUGGUAUUGCUAAAUCUUAAUAUAUGUAAUCUCUAAAUUGCUUUCCAAAAUGGUGAGGAAAAUAUGUCUCCACCAAAAUGUUCCCAUUGUUCACAUCCUUCUAAUCCUGGUUUUAUCAUGCUUUUUGUCAAUUUGAUGGAUAUUAUUUUUUCUUUAGUAUGUUUCUAGAAGUGUAGUUAUUAGGAUAAGGGGUUUUGUAGUAUUUUUAAUCCAUGAGGAUUGUAUUGUUGCAAAUGUUAUUAAGAGUUUUGACUGAAAGCAUUGUUGUUUAUGUUUAUUUACAGUGGAAUGAAAAGUGUUUGCUCUAAAGAAACCAUAGCUGCCCUAGCUGUAAAACUGAUAUUGGAGAAUUGCCUAAAAUGCAUUAACUCUUGUGUUGUGACAUCUAUGUAGAUAAUUGAGAUGAUUAUUUGGUCAAUAGACUCCUAGAGUGCUUUUUCUUCCUGUGAACUUUUUUUGGGGAACAUUUAAUUCUUGAUCAUCUUGUGCAGUCAAAUAAAAAUGUAAUAUCCAGUCAGGGUUGGGUCUGUUUAUUUAUUUUAAUGAGUUUUAAAACAAUUGUUGUUUGUUUUAGUUUUUUUUUGUGGGUGAGUUUUUUUAAAAAAUAUUUCAAUAGUUACCUAAUGAGUGUUUAUGAUGAAAGAAUAGAAAUUAUUUACUCUGAGAUUGUUGAAUGUGUCCGUUCUGCAUAAUUUAUCUUAAAAAAUACCUCUUUUUUCCCUUGUUUUUAUAACAAAAGAACAUUUCAGAGUUAAAACAUUGUAAAUGUAUAUGCAUUGAGUUUUAAAGAGCAUAAAAGUUACAAAAUUCAGUUAUUUUGUGAGAGAUUUAAAAAACCUGCAGGAGGGAAGGGAACAUGUCUACCCUUAAAAUAGCUACAUUGCCUGUGCUUACCAGCACAGUGCCUGACUCUUCACAGUAAAAUUUCAUUUAGUGUUGUUUUUGAAUGAACAGAGUAAGAAGAAAAAAAGAAGUGUUAUUUCAGGUAGUAGUAGGGUUUUGUUUUGGGGUUUUUUGUUUUGUUUUGUUUUGGUUUUUUUUUUUUUUUUUGGUACCAGCCACUGAACCCAGUGGCACUUUACCACUGAGAUACAUCCCCAGCCCUUUUUACUUUGAGAUGGACUCUUGAUAAGUUGAGUAGGGCCUCACUAAAUUGCUGGUGCUGGCCUUGAAUUCACAAUCUUCCUGCUUUAGCCUCUCAGCUGGGAUUACAUGCAUGCGACACCACUUCAGCCCAGUAGCAGUCUUAGAUGACUAAAAGUUAUGUGUGAUAUUUUUAGUAAAUUAAGUAUAGAAUUACUUCCACUUGAAUCUAGAAUUAUGUUCAAAUUUAAUUCUUAAAUAACAAAUUUUUUAAAUUAAAGACUAGUUUUAAGAACAUUUUUAGAUUCACAGCAAAAUUAAGAAGGUACAGAGAUUUUAUACAUAUCCCCUAACCCCCAGUCGUCCCACCACAUGCUGAGUCUCCCCUGUUAUCAACAUCCCUGCCACACUUGUAUAUUUGAUUCAGUUUAUAUAAUGCUUUGCUUUUGGAGUUAACAUUUUUGGUGUCUGGAUAAAUGUAUGGAGAUAUAUCCAUAUUAUAGUAUCAUGCAUAGUAUUUUCAAUGCACUGAAAAUCUCUACACUCCUCAUAUUUAUCAUCCCCCCAUCCUAAACCCUUGGCAGCCACUGAUCAUUUUACUAUCUCCAGUAUUUCCUUUUUCAGAAUGUCAUAUAGUUGGAAUCAUACCUUAUGUAACUUUUUCAGAUUGGUUUCUUUCACUUAGAGAUACAUAUUUAAGUUUCCUGUGUCUUUUCAUGGUUUGAUAGCAUGGUUUAUUUAUCCAUUUACCUACUAAAUGAUGUGCUAGUUGCCUCCAAGUUUUGGUGAUUAUGAAUAAAACUGCUAUAAACAUCCAUAUGAAAGUUUUUGUGUGGACACAGUUUUUGGGUAAAUACUAAAGAGUGCACUGCUGGAUCACAUGGUAAAAGUAUGUUUAGUUUUGUAAGAAACUGCCAAACUAUCUGUACCCUUUUGCAUUUCCAUGAGCAAGGAAUGUUCCUACUGCUUUACAUCCUCAUCCGCAUUUGAUAAUGUCAGUGUUUUGGAUUUUGACCAUUCUAAUAGAUACAUAGUGGUAUCUAGUUUUAAUUUACAUUUUCCUGAUGAUAAAUGAAGUAGAACACCUUUUCACAUGCUAAUUUGCCAUCUGUUUAUCCUAUUUGAUCAGGUGUUAAUUAAGGUCAUUGGUUCAUUUUUUUCAGCACAUGAUUUGUCUUAGUGUUGAGCUUUAAAAAUUUUGUAAUCUUGGAUAACAUCUUUUGUUAGAUGUGUUUAUUGCAAUUUUUGUCUUUCAGUCUAUGGCUUAUCUUACACUUGACGUUGUCACAGAGCAGAAGUUCUUAAUUUUAAUAAAGUAUGAAGUAUAGCUUAUGUUUUAGUCAGCUUUUUCACUGCUGUGACUAAAAGAUCUGACCAGAACAAUUUUAAGUGAAGAAGAGUUCAAUAGGGCUCAUAGUUUAAGAGGUCUCAGUUUAUAGACAGCCAGCUCCAUUCCUUGGGGCUCAAGGUGAGUCAGGACAUCAUCACAGAAGAGUGUGGUAGAGGGAAGCAGAUCACAUGAUGAUCAGAAAGUAGAGAGAGAGAGAGAUCUCUACUUGCCAGAUACAAAUAUAUACUCAAAACUACACCCCCAAUUCCCUGCCUCCUCCAGCCUACUUUCAGUUACCACUGAAUCCCAUCAGGUGACUAAUUCACUGGAUUAAGGCACUCAAAACCCGAUCAUUUCCCCUCUGAAUCCUCUCUCAUUGUCUCUCCUGUGAGCUUUUUGGGGACACCUCAUAUCCAAACCAUAGCAUUCCACCCCUGGCUCCCAAAAGCUCAUACUCAUCUGACAAUGCAAACAUACAUUCAGUCCAUUCCCAAGAAUUCCCAUAGUUUCAGCAAUUCCAAGUUUAUUCAAAGUUCAAGUCCAAAGUCUUCUCUGAGGCUCAAGGCAAUCUCCCAUUAUGAGCUUCUAUGAAAUUAAAAGCAAUUUACAAGUAUCUAAUAUAUAAUGGUACUAAAUAUUACAUUUACAAAGUAAUAAUUUCCAUUCACAAAAAUAGGGGCAUAGAAAGAAGGGAUGGGACCAAAGCAAGACUGAAAUCUAGCUGGGCAAACAAGUCCUGUAGCUCAGGGUCCAUUAUCUGGAGCACAUGGCAUGAUAUCCCUUCCAAAGGGCUUGUGUAGCUCUCCCCUGUGGCCUUAUUGGUUGCAGCCCAAGUGGUCUUUCUGUUGGCUUGUCUCUGCUCUUCCUGCAGCUUUCUUAGGAUGAUGUCCUACAUUACUGUAAUUUUUUAAUCUUGGGAGUCUCUACUGCAGCUUUGGCUGCCUCCUCACAUCUCCAAGCUUUCCCUAUCAGGGGUUGCCCUCAGGGAUUCUCACUCUGCUGCACUUUGCCAGGCCUCCAGGCCUUCCUUUGAAAUAUUGUGGAAGCCUUCUUGACCACCUAAUUCCAGCUUCUUGCAUUCCUGCAGAAGCAACACCAUGUGGUUGACACCAAGGUCUGCUGCCAUCUUGAGUAGUAGCCAGUCUUCCAGGGACCCUGGCUGUAGCAGCCCAUGAGUGCCUGGGUAGCUGAGCAUGAUGGAAAAAAAAUUCCUAGGCCCCCUUGUGCAAGAAGGGUAGCCCACUAGUCUCUAAUUUUUACUUUUACUUCCUUGGGGCGGGGUGGGGGGCGUGGAGAUGGGUGUGGUCUUGCCAGUUCCUGGGCUGCCCUUGAGCCAUCUUUCUCUUUAUCUCUGGGCAAAGUCUUUAGCAUUUCUUUAGUGGUGAUAAUGUCUUUUAACAAUUGUAACUUCCUUAGCCCCAGUUUUAUUCCCAUCUUUUUUUUUUUUUUUAAGAUUUAUAUAAAAUAGAAUGUAUUUAUUAUAUAAUUUUUGAUAUAAAUUGCAUCCAUAAUUAUAUAUCUAUACACACACACAUAUAUAUAUCAUAUAUACAAUCNCCCUCCCCCCUCCCCACCUCUCCCCUCCCCUCCCCACCUCUCUCUCUACCCCCUCCACUGUAUAACCCUGAGGGUCAGUUUACAACAAUCUAAAGCAUUUCUAGCUUGCACUGCUACACAUCUCAAAAUUCUUCCCACCAAUUCCAAAAAGCUCCAAAAAAUUCUGAACCACGUGGUCAUAGCAGCGACCCCACUUCUGGUACCAAAUUCUAUUUUAGUCAGCUAUUUCAUUGUUAUGACUAGAAGAUCUAACCAGAACAAUUUUAGAGGAAGAAAAGUUUAUUUAAGGGCUCACGGUUUUAUGGGUCUCAGUCCAUAGACAGCCAGCUCCAUUCCUCAGGGCUCAGGGUAAGGCAGAACAUUGUGGCAGAAGAGUGUGGCAGAGGAAUACAGCUCACAUCAUUAUCAGGAAGCAGAGAGAUCUCUACUUGCCAAAUAAAAAUAUAUAUUCCAAAGCCAUGCCCCCAAUGCUCCAUCUUCUCCAGCCACAACCCACUGGCCUUCAAUUAUCACUCAAUUAAUUCUACCAGGUGAUUAAUUCACUGAUUAGAUUAAGGUGCUUACAACUCAAUCAUUUCCCCUCUGAACCCUCUCACAUUGUCUCACAUGUGAGCUUGCUUUUGGGGACAUCUCACAUCCAAAUCAUAACAGCUUAUCAGUUCUUUCUUUCAUGAAUCACACUUGUUGCAUCUGAAAUAUCAUCAUCAUACCCAAUGUCAUCUAGAUUUUCUCCUUUGUUACCUUGUAGGAGUUUUAUAGUUUUGUGUUUUACAAUUAAAUCUGUGAUCCGUUUUGAGUUAUUUUUUCUGAAAUUGUAAGGUUUGUGUCUAGGGUUUUUGUUGUUGUUGUUGUUUUUUGGAGUAUGGCUGACCAUUUGUUUCAUGGUCAUCUGUUGAAAAGACCAUUAUUGCUUCAUUGAAUUUCCUUUGCUUUUCUGUCAACAUCAAUUGACUAUAUCCAUGUGGGUCUAUUUCUGGACUCAUUCUGUUCCACUGAUCUAUUUGUCUAUUUUUUUUUUUUGCCAAUACCACACUGUCUCAAUUAUAGUAGUUUUGUACUAUCUUAACUUUGGGUAGUAUCAGCCCUUCAACUUGUUCUUUAAUUUCACAUUAAGCUAUUAUGGGUCUUCUGCCAUUCAGUCUAAACUUUAGAAUCAUUUUGUUGAUCUUCAUAAGGUAACUUACAGGGAUUUUGAUUGGGAUUGCCUUGGCCCUAUAAAUCAAGUUGAUAGGAACAUCUUAACUUCUUGACAAUAUUGAGUUUUCUAUUCACAAAUAAUAUCUCACUCUCCAUUUUUUUUUUUUUUUAGUUCUUUGAUUUCUUGAAUCAGUUUUAUCGUUUUCCUUAUUUAGAAAUUAUACAUAUUUUGUUAGAUGUAUACCUAUUUCAGUUUUGGGGGAGCUAAUGUAAAUAGUAUUUUUUUUAAAAUAUUCUUUUUAAUUGUUGAUGGACCUUUAUUUUAUUCAUUUAUUUAUAUGUGGUGCUAAGAAUUGAACCCAGGGCCUCACACAUGUGAGGCAAGUGCUCUACCACUGAGCCAUAACCCCAUCCCUAGUAUUAUGUUUUAAAUUUCAAAUUUCAUUAAUUUGUUGCUGAUAUAUAGGAAAAUGAUUGACUUUUGCAUAUUAACUUUAUGUCCUGAAAUCUUGAGGAGGGGUUUUUGGUGAUUAUUGGUGAAUUUUCUACCUAGGUAAUAUGUCAUCUGUGAAUAGAGACAAUUAUAUUUCUUUCUUUUUUGUUUUCAAACCAUAUGCUUUUAUUUCCUUUUGUGUCUUACUUUAUUAGCUGAUACUUUCAGUAUGAUAUUGAAAAAGAGCAAAUAGGAGGGACAUCUUGCCUUCUUCCUGAUCUUUGUGAGAAAGCUUUAAGUUUCUAACCAUUAGGUAUGGCAUUAGCUGAAGAUUUUUUGUGCAUAAUUCUUUAUCAUGUUGAGGAAUUACCCUCUACUUCUAACUUACUGACUUUUUUUUUUUUUUUUAAAUCUGAAUGGGUGUUGGAUUUUUGUCAAAUGCUUUUUCUGCACGUAAUAUUUUAUUUUCAGCCUGUUGGUGUGAUGGAUUUAUUGAUUGAUUUUUUUUUCCAGAUGUUGAGCCAACAUUGUACAUUGAGAUAAAUUAUACUUGGUUAUGGUUUAUAAUUAUUUUUCUUCAUUGUUGGAUUGAACUUACUGAUAUUUUGUUGGGGAUUUUUUGCAUUUAUGUUAUGUUCAUACUUACAUAUGUGAAAUAAAUUAAGUAAUAUUGGUUUGUAGUUGUCUUGUAAUGACUGGUUUGGGGAUUAGGAUGACAUUGACCACAUAGAACCAGUUAGGAAGCAUUUUCAGCUUCUAUCUUGUGGAAGAAUUAUAAUAAUUCUAUCUUGUAGAGAAUUGUAAUAAUUUCUUCUCUAAAUAUUUGUGAGCAUUCACUAGUGAACUCAUCAGGGCUUUUUGCCUUCUGUUUUGGAAAUUCAUUUUAUUAUUUUUUUAGAUUGUUUCUUUAAUGAAUAUGUGUUUUUACAUUUAACAUGUAUUAUACACAUUGUAUAGUUUUUUUGGGUUUUGGUUUUGUGGUGGUGCUGGAAAUUAAAUCCUCUCUAAUUCUAGUGCUCUACCACUAAGCUAUAUCCCCAGCCUAGUUAAGUCUUAUUUUUUGGUCCACUCUGACAACCUCUUGUUAUUUAGUGGUUAUAUUUAAAAUAUUAAACUUCAAAAUGAUUAUUAAUAUAAUUGGAUUAAUAUCUACUAUGUUUGUUUCUGUUUGCUGUUUAUGGCCCUUGUUCUUCAUUCCUGUUUUUGUCUUACACUCACUCUUUUGUGGUUUAAUUGAGCAGUUUAGAUGAUAUCAUUUUCUUUUUUUUUAAUAUUUAUUUUUUAGAAGUAGUUUGACACAAUACCUUUAUUUAACUUAUUUAUUUAAUUUUAUGUGGUCCUGAGGAUCGAACCCAGAGCCUCGAAUGUGCUAGACUAGCGCUGAGCCACAAUCCCAGACCCAUUUUCUUUCUUAAUAUUUUUGUUUUUCUGUUUAUUUCAGUGGUUGCCCUAGAGUUUGUAAUACACAUUUACAGAUAAUCCAAGUCCAUAAUCAAAUAACACCAUUUCAGGGGUGUAAUGUGAAUACCUUUUACAAGAUAAUUCUGAUUCUUCACUCCUACCCCUUGUAUCAUUACUGUCAUUCAUUUCACUAUAUAUAAGCAUAUAUGUGAUAUAUAAAUACAUACAUAGUCAAAUAUAUUAUUGCUAUUAUUAUUUUGAAUUAACAUCUGUUAGAUGUUAAUUCAAAAUAAUAAAAUAAGAAAAAUAAAAAAAUUAUAUCUUUACAUAUCCAUAUUUGAUGCUUCUUCUUUUUCCAGAUUAUAAUGCCUUUCCUAUAUUGUGUUUCUUUUAAUAAAUUUCUUUUAAUAUUCCUUGCAAGGUAGGUCUAUUGGCAGUGAAUUCCCUCAAUUAUUACUUACCUGAGAAAGACUAUUUUUCCUUCAGUUUUAGAGGAUAAUUUUGCAAGAUGUAGAAUUCUAAGUAGCUUUUUUUUUUUUAUUUCCUCAAAACUUGAAAUAGUCCACUGCAUUCUCUUCUUGCCUGCAUGGUUUUCUGAGAAGUUGGAUAUAAUUUUUUUCUUGGUUCCUAAAUAGGCAAGGCCACAGAACUCUUCAGUAUGUGAGUUUGGAUUCUAACUCUGUGGUCUAAUAACUCCAGCACCUCCGCUCUUAUCAAGUAGUCUUUUCCUCUCCCCCACCCAUCCCACUCUCACUCUUUCCCUCUCUCUUUUUACAGAUUAAGAAAAUGAGGACUGAGGAUUUAAAGGAUUUAAUCAAAAUUCUAGCUAGUUAGUGGCAGAAUUAGAAGAAUUUCAGGUCUUCUGACAUUUUGUUUAGUCCUUUAGUCCUUGCCUAGACUAGAGGCUCUUGCAGGCUGUAUCUUUUAAACUGACAUUUUCAAUGGUAUCAGAUAAUGAAUAUUGGUUUUUACUCACUCACAUUUAGAACAUAAAAAUGAAAGAUUUACUUACUUGUGAUUUGUAACCAGAAUUUGUAUUAAAAUGUUAGGUGCUCUUUUUAGCAUAUAUUAUUUAAAUAACCAACAAACUUGUUUCAAAGAUUUCAGUGACUUUUAAAAACAAUUAAAAAAAAUUUUUUUAGUUUUAGGUGCACACAAUAUCUUUAUUUUAUCUCUAUGUGGUGUUGAGGACCAAACCCAGUGCCUCGCGCAUGCCAGGGGAGCUGGCUACCACUUGAGCCCCAUCCCCAGCCCAUUAAAGCAGUUUUUGAACGUUAAUCUUAAACUAUUUCCAUAAGUGUCUGGUUACUGUCAGGAAUAAUGUUGAAUCUCUGACUUCUACUGGAUUAAAUCACUAAAGCAUGCAAAGUUUGAAGAACUGCUGAAAGUGGGAUUUAUUAGUAAAGUGAUUUCUCCUCAAUAAAAAUGUUGAGUUUCUAUUCACAAUUCUGGUUCUUUUUAAAAAAAUCUUUCUUAGAAUAACAGUGGAUUUUUUUUUAAAUGUAGGAAUUGGGAGUGGCUCUUUUGAGGAAUGCUUACAGAAAGUUGACGGGGCAGAAUAGGGAGACAGAAUUCAAAAGAGAUGGAGAUGUAAAGAAGACUGCGAACAGGAGUAGGACAUUUUGGAGUGAAACCUUGGAUGAGGGGGGUGGGGAGGGGGCGGAAUGAGACAUGUGCUGAUAAAUUUUCUUUGAAUUUGAAUAGAUUCUUUGCCUGAAGCUUGUUUUGAGUUGGGUUUCUGUCUGGUUUAGGAACCCUUAUUGAUAGGUUUGUUGUUUUUUUUUAAACCAGAGAUUCAUUAUUCAAAAACUAUUAAAUCAUUUCUUAACAUAAUUAUAGAAAUACCAUGAAAAUAUUCUUCUAAAGCUAAAGCACCUUAUAGAAUUUUCUCUGAUUCUUCUAAAUUAGUCUAUCUGUAGGGAAAUUAAUUUUAAAAGUUUUUUAAUUAGUAUUUAAUUAGAACCAGAUAUAUUGGUCACUUUUUUAAACAAAAAGAAAUGCACCUUUAGCUUUGAGUCAUCUUAAAUCAGAUGUCAUCUUAAAUUGGAAAUAUCUGGGAGAAAAAAUUUGGAAUUCAGAUAAAGAAAGAAUACAGUUUUGUGGUAGUUACUCUGAGGCAAAAAAAAAAAAAAAAUGGAGAUCAUAUGGUCUCUCUCUUUCCAUAGUAAACUAGUUAGGAGUAGCGAUGAGGCAAGUGUACCAAUAACCACUACAUAAUACAAAACUGAUUGGCUAUAAAUGCCAUAGAAAGGUUGAGAGUUCAUGGAAGUGGUAUCUAACUCUUGUUUUGUUUAAAUAGCAUAGAACUUUUUUUUAAAAAGUUGUUUUUUUAUAUUAUAUGUAGCACUCAUCCUUUUAAAGUGUACAUUUCAAUGAGUUUUACAAUAUUCAGAAGGUCCGUAAUAAACUUUUCUAAAAGUUCUUGUGUUUUUAGCUAAGGUAUGCCCUCAUAUUUCCCAGGCUUCACCCUCCCUAAUUAGUAUCCAUCUGGCAGGUAUUUAUAUUGGCUGCCCAAUUCCUGCAGACAUUUGAGUUUGCACUCCAUCUUGAGAGAGUUUUUCCUAGGUUCAUUAACCAUGGAAGCAAAUACCUAGAUUGUGUGCAUGAAUGCCAGAGUGUGGGGAAUACUGGGUGCUAUUCUGCAGAGCAUCCUUUUCCCCACAUCUGUCCCUUUUCUUGCUCUGUCCUGGCUCCUAUAAGAAUCAUCACUGCCUCUGCCAUCAUCUUAGAAAUGACUUUAGAAAGUCCAAACACUUUAUGGUUUACAAAUUCUUGCAUGAUCUGGCCCCUGCCUACCACUCUAGUCUAGUUACCUUUGACUCCUCUCUUCCCAUCAAACUAAUCUUUGUUUUUUUCCUUCUGGUCAUUACCUAUGUAAUUACUUCUUGUCAUUCUUAUGUCAGCUUAAAUUCACUACUCAGGAGCCUUUCAGUGUUCAUCAUACCUAAAGCAGUUACUUACUCCUAUUACUUUCUACACAGCUUUAAUUUAAUUAUACCACACUUGCCACCAUUUGAUUUUGUUGUUGUUGUUUAUUUAAUAUUUUUCUCCUUUGUAAUGUAAGUUCAAAGUUGGCAGGUUCCUACAUAUUCAUAGUUAUUUCCUAAGCUUUUAGAACAUUGAGUGUUUGACACAUAGUAUGUGCUUAAUACAUAUUUGAUGAGUGAAAAUGCUGCUCUGAUUCAUCGGCAGUAUGAUGCGACCUGUUUCUGUCUUCUUAUUUUUGCCGUAAAUCUCUGGUCUGUUGAGGCCUUUGCUAUCUCUGGUUAUCAGUAUUUUUUGUGAGUUUGUUUCCUUUUACAAUUGUUUACUGUCAUUUUAAUGAGAUUUUGAGAGGUAGAAAAAUGUGUUCUCUCUCUUGAUGGUUGAGUUAUUGUAGUCAGGUUAAAAACAUGAACAGAGGCCAAGUUGGGAAACCAUUGCUUAUUUUUUUAAAUUAAUUAAUUAAUUAAUUUUAAUUAGGUAUAUAUGACAGCAGAAUGCAUUUUGAUUAAUUGUACACAAUUGCAGCACAACUUUUUAUUUCUCUGGUUGUACACAGUGUCGCAUUGCAUCAUAUGUGCAGUCAUACAUAUACCUAGGGUAAUGAUGUCCAUCUCAUUCCACCAUCUUUCCUGCCCCCUUGCCCUCACUCUACCCAUCCCUCCCCUUUACCCAAAGUUUCUUCAUUUUUCCCAUGCCCUCUUCCCCAUUAUGGAUCAGCACCCACUUAUCAGAAUAUUUGGCCGUUGUUUUUUGUGGGGGUUUGGCUUACUUCGCUUAGCAUGAUAUUCCCCAACUCCAUCCAUUUACCUGAAAAUGCCAUAAUUUUAUUCUCUUUAAUUCUGAAUAAUAUUCCAUUGUUUAUAUAUACUACAGUUUCUUUAUCCUUCUAUUGAAGGACAUCUAGGUUCCUUCCACAGUUUAGCUAUUGUGAAUUGAGUUGCUAUAAACAUUGAUGUGGCUGCAUUACUAUAAUAUGCUGAUUUUGUCCUUUGGGUAUGGACCUUGGAGUCAGAUAGCUGCGUCAAAUGAUGGAUCCAUUCCAAGUUUUCUAAGGAAUUUCCAAACUGCUUUCCAGAUUUGUUGUACCAAUUUGCAGUUCCACCAGCAAUGCCUUUCCCCACACAUCCUCACCACUUAUUGUUAUCUGUAUUCUUCUGACUGCUGUGAGAUGAAAUCUUAGUUUUGGUUUACAUUUCUCUAAUUACUAGAGAUGUUGAACAUUUUUCAUAUAUUUGUUGACAAAGGUGCCAAAAACAUACAUUGGAGAAAAAAAUAUCCCCUUCAACAAAUGGUGCUGGGAGAAUUGGAAAUCUAUAUGCAGCAAAAUGAAACUAAACCCCUCUCACUGUGCACAAAACUCAACUCAAAAGUGGAUCAAGGACCUAGGAAUUAGACCAGAGACCCUGCACCUAGUAGAGGAAAAAGUAGGCCCAAAUCUUCAUCAUGUCGGAUUAAGCCCUGACUUCCUUAACAAGACUCCUAAAACGCAAGAAAUAAAAUCAGGAAUUAAUAAAUGGAAUAGACUCAAACUAAAAAGCUUCUUCUCAGCAAAAGAAACAAUCAAUGUGGUGAAGAGAGAGCCUUCAUUUUGGGAGCAAAUUUUUUCCACACAAGGUCAGAUAAAACACUAAUCUCCAGGAUAUGUAAAGAACUCAAAAAACUUAACACCCAAAAAAAAAAGAGCACUUGCCUCGCAUGCACAAGGCCCUGGGUUCAAUCCCCAGCACCACAAAAAAACAAAACAACAACCCAAUCAAUAAAUGAGCUAAGGAUAUGAACAGACACUUCUCAGAAGAAGACAUACAUUUGAUCAACAAAUAUAUGAAAAAAUAUUAAAUAUCCAUGACUUAUUUUUGAAGAAUAAGGUUGAAAUUCUAGGGUUUCAGACCCAUGUUAGGGUCUGAAAUCAUUUGAUAAAAGAAUUCAUACUUAGUUCAGAAAACUCAAUUCAGAAAGUCAAAGGGAACUCAUUUGGGUGUUUGAACAGAAUCAUGACAUGAAUAGUCUCUAGUCUGACAGUGAUAGAAGUUGCUAGAGCAAUCUGAGGGCUCUGUAGUGUAGAUCUUAACCAAGUUAGUGAUCAUUUAAUAAGUACAAAGGAAGGCAUGAAAUAAAAAAAAAAAAAAAACAGUUGCAUCUCCUGGCACACAUGUUGCUUAAUUGCUCUAUGAUGAUUAGUUUUAACAGUGCAACUUUUAUUUUGAUGAUCAGUUGAUUAUAUAGGGGACGGUAUUGAAUCAGUAAUGAGUUGUAAAAUGUCUUUCCAAGGAACUUUAUAUUUAUGAAAUGAAUGAAACAAAGUAGACACCCAAAAGCUUUAUAAAGUGAGGGAUAUUUGAUCAACUCUGGUACUAUCCUCUGAAUGAUGGCAAGAGGUUAGGACAUAUAUGUUAAUGAAUAAUGUAACCUAUCAGUGUUCUGCUCUUUUACUCCUUUUCUUAUAGUAACAAAAUUUAGAAAAGCAAAACAUCUUCUAAAAAAACCCCAUCUUGAAGUUUGUGUUUAGCUUAUGCUUAUUGGGUUGAAUGCUACUAGCCUUUGAUUUGGAACAGAUUUCUUCCUGAUCUACUUGUGACAUUGAUCAACUUUUUAAAAUUACUUAAGUGUUUUCUUUUUUCAUGUGAAGGUUAGAAAUUACUCUUUAUUCUGUGUGAGCUGUUGUUUUUCUAAGACACUAAAUUUUAUUUGCAUUAAAUGAAACUAAUUUUUAUGAUGACCAGAAUAUGCUUAGAAAGUUAACUGAAUAAGCCAGGACAAUACACCUUAAGAAGGAUAACCUGAGGAUCGAGAGUUCAAAGCCCCCCUCUGCAACCGCAAGGUGCUGAGCACCUCAGGAAGACCCUAUCUCUAAAUAAUAAAUACAAAAUAGGGCUAGGAUGUGGUUCAGUGGUGGAAUGCCCCUGAGUUCAAUCCUUAGUAUCCAAAAAAUUAAAAAAAAAGAAAGAAAGAAAAAUAACAUGAAUACAUAAUAUAAAAACACAUUGGAGAAAUACACAAUUAUUUUUCAAUAUUCUUAGACUGUACUAUAUGUUUAAUUUGGUUAAAAUGUUUUAUAGUCUGUUUUAUUCUUUUCCAUUUAGGUACUUUGGAAUUUUAAAUGAUUUGUUAACUUAAAUGAUGUAUUUUCUAACCAAUCUUCAACUUCCUGAAGGCAGAGAUUGCUUAUUCUUUUCUUCUCUAAAUUUCCCCUUCCCACUUUCUCCCUUAUUUCAGUAUAAUUUCAAACAUACAGAAAAGUUGUAGAAAGAUUGCAAACAGUUUCAAUAUUUCUUUAUUCAGGUUUACCUAAUGUUUAUAUUUUACUACACACCCUGCACACAUACACACACUUACCUUUUUCCCGAGUAAUAUGAGAAUAAUUUCCAGACAUUAUGCUCCUUUUCGACAAAAUUUCUAGUAUAUCUAAGACCAAAGAUAUUCUUUCAGAUAACUGUUGGAAAUUGCCAAAAUCAACACUAUGAUCUAAUCCAUUGUCCAUAGUUAAAUUUUGUCAUUUAUUCCAGCGUUAUCCUUUAUGCCUGUAUAUUUUCCUGGGUCCAGGAUCCAGUCCAGGAUUAAGCAUUGCAUUUAGUUUUCAUGUUGAAGUUCCCUUAAAUAUGGAACAUUCCCUCAGCUUUUUUGAAAGCUAUACACCAAUUACUUUGUAAAAAAUGUCUUGAUGAUUUGAUUCAGAUAAUACAUUUUUGGCAGGGGUAUUACGGAAAGAUGCGUCCUCAAGGCAUCAUAACAGUAGUCAUAUGAUGUUGGUUUGCCUCCUUAUUGGUGAUGUUGUGAUCACUUGGUUAAAGUAGUGUCUUUCCAGUAAUUUGUCUGGAGAUAUAUUGAGAGUGUUUAAAUAAUCUCAGCAAAUUUGCACCCACCAGUUUUAGUAUCUUUUGAUGAUUCCUGCCUUGAUUAAAAAAAAAAAAAAAAAAAAAAACUUAAAAGAAUUACUUUUAAAUCCUUAGCUACUAUGACAGUGGUUGCAAAAUGGUAAUUUUUCUGUCAUUUCAUCUAUAUCAAUUCUUAAGGAAUUAUUAGUUUGUUUCUGUCAUAAUUUAUUUUGAUACUUAACUUGUCCCAGAUAGGCCUCUGGGAUCCCCGUCAGGCUGGCCCCUGUCUCCAUUUGACUAUCAUUAAUUGAGUACUUUCUGGCACAAGAUGUUAUAGGGCUCAUCUUAUUUUUUCCCUUGCACCAAUCCUUAAAUCAUUAUUCCAAGCAUCUCUGGUUCCUUUUUGUGCAGAGUGUAUGUUUAGGAAUCAAAAAUGGGGAACUAAGUGUGAUGAUUGCUACUGGGGUAUUAUUGCUACUAGGACUUUAUAGUGGGCAAACACACAUACACAUACAUCUCUCUCUCUCUCUUUCUCUUUACCACCAUCUGUUUGAAACCUUCAGUUUAUACUGGUAACUAAAAAUCUAAUACAAAUGAUUCUUCAUUUUUGUUUUUUCCAAUUUAAUUUUUUUAGUUGUUUCAGAUAAUGGUUUAUGAUAUAUUGUAUAAUAGGUAAUUAUAGGAUUGAGUAUUAGAACUUUUUAAAUAGGAAUGUUAGGAGUUUCUUGUAGAACAUUGAACUAAGAUUGGUUUUUCAACUACAGAUAAGGAUUUCUUGUUUGGUGUUUAAGAGAUUAAAAAUAUCUCAUUUUAUGAAAAUCUAGUGUAACUUAAGGAAUGCUUAUUCUCAUGAAAAUAUGGUUCAUCAAAGUGGACUCCUUUUCUAAGGGGUACAUUUAAGUGCUUGAUAAAUAGAAAAUUAAAUUAACUAUAUUGCCUUCAAUUUGACUUGCAUCUCUUAGGCAUUACACCUCAACUGUUAAAGUAGUUCUUUGUUUUUAUGCUUCUUUAUGUGAUCUUUAAUUAUCUUACAGGUAAUGUAAAUAAUAAUGAAGAGAAUUGUUAUUUGUAUCUUAGGUUGUCAGAAAUAAAAGGGAAGGCGUAAAACUCUAAAUCAUCUCCCCUAGAACAUGAUUUCUUUUUCUUCUGAAUGAGGAGGAUAUCAUUGUGGUUUGGCCCAAGAAUACUACACCAUUCUACUUGUAGAUUCGGUUCCAUCUGGCAACUUUACAAAAUUGCAUUUCAGGUAUCAGCUCACUCCUGGAGAACCAAGCAGUCCAUGCAAAUUCCCUAGUAGCCAGUUAACUCUGAUGUUGCUCUGUGAAGCCUUUGAGCAACGUAGUGCUUUGCUUCUGUUUUAGUCCCUUAACACUUAGGAGAGCAUGGCUUCCUUUGAAUUUGCUUCAUGCAUAGCCACAGGAAAAAAAUUUGGUUCCUGGAGAAUUUGUAAAUCGAAAAGUUUCUAUGUUUACCAUCCCUCCUGCAGUUAGUAUUAAUAUUCUUUUAAUUUAUGGAGGUUUUUUUUGCUCUUCUUGGGUCCUGCACAGUGCUUGUCAUACUGCUACUUAUAGAUGAAGUUUUGGUGGUGGUGGUGGUGGUAGUGGUGAUUGUUUUGUUUUGGGACAGAGUCACUGUGUUAUCCAGGCUGUUUUCAAACUCCUGGGCUUGUUACCAUCCUCCUGUCUCAGUCUUGACUACAGAUGCUCACCACCAUGACCAGCUUGGCUUUUUUUUUUUUUUUUUUAAGUGUUGGACAUGAAAUAGAACUGGGAAUUUUCUGUUGAGGGCCACUCAACCUGCAGAGGCAAUUUCACUGGUGAUGGAUAUACAAAAGCAACUUUCGAUUUUUUAAAAAAUUCAUCUGCUUUAUAAAUUAAGAACAGAAGAAAUGAUCUUAAAGUAUAGGCACACAAAGGAAUAUGAUCCUUAGGAAAAUAAUCCCAUGUAUGUGUAGAACACAAAUAUGAAAAGGAACAUACUGGGAGAUAGAAAAUUUAAAAUUUGGGUAAAAUUAAUUUUGAAGCUUCUUAAACUGUUAAAUUUCCAGUUUCCAUUUGGGCACUCUACAAAUGAUAGUACUUAGUGCACAGCAGAACUGAAGAUCCUGUGCUAAUAUAGUUUUAGAUGAAGAGAGAAGCAAAUCAAACACAUCAGGCAUUGCCGCAUUCUGAUAAAGCAGUUAAUAGUCUACCAACCCCAACAAUUCUCAGUCCAUUUUACAUUGUAUGUGUACUAUUUCUCUCCUUUUCCUUCUUUGCUUUAACUUCCUUCCUCCUCCUCUUGAUGGGUCCUCUUCCUCUUUGGUGCCUUACUAAAUUUAACACAGUUUUUUUUUUUUUUUUUUUCCAUAUUGUUUCUUUAAUCUGAUUUAGAUUUCCUUCCUCUUGCUUUUAGUUUGCAAGAGUUAUACUUUGCACAGUUGGGGGCACUUCUUAAACACGGAAAUCUUCACAAACAGACCCUUUCUCUAUUGUGUUUUUUCUUUUUUAAAAAUCGUAUUAGAGUAGUAUAGGAGGUAUUUAAAUUUUUGUGAGGAAGAUGAUGAAACAACUGGAAUUAAAGAACAAAUUUUUGAAUGAAUAACUCAGACGAAGCAUGUGACUAUGGUGAUAGAGAAGAAAUAAAUUUGGGACCCCACGGCUGCUUGAUUUCUUUAUGGUUUGAAUAUUACUCUUUAUAGUUCUGCCCUUAACUUAAUUGUGGUUACACAAAACUGCAUUACUUAUUAUCUUAUAAGCUUCCCAGUAAUUGUAACACAACACAGUUAUUUAUAUUUCAGUUGUCAAACUUAGGUGAACAUAAGCAGUACUGAUGAGAGCUUGUUUAAAAAUGUCCCAUUUUCUUAACAUCUUGAGCAGACCAUUUAAAAACUGACUUUAAAGCUGGGCAUGGUGGCACAUGCCAAUCCCAGCAAUUCAGGAGGCUGAAGCUAGAAGAUAGCAAGUUCAAGGCCAACUUGGGCAAUUUAGUUAGAUCAUAUCUCAAAGAAAGGGCUAGAGGUAUAGUUCAGUGGUAAAGUACUUCUAAGUUCAAUCCUCAGUAACACAAAAAUAAUUCCUUGCAUGUAUGAUUUUGUCAAAAUGAACCCACAUACUAUGUAUAAUUAUAAUGCUUUAAUAAAAGAGGCAAUAUUAAGUGAAGGUUUUUUUUUUUUUUUUAUCUCCUUUAACAGUGUUUCAUCAUUAUUGAUUUUCUUGUCUGUCCCCUACUAGAUUAUGUAUAGCUUGAGGACAGAGGCCAUCAUGUUCAUCUCUGUUCCUCCAAGUGCCUGGCACACAUAUAAGACAUACCAUAAAUGUUAAAUGAAAUUGAAGCUUCUCAUGCCUUUUUGGAACAUUUGCGCCUGCUAGACUCAGAGAAAUGCUCUAAAGGACAACUCUGCUCUCCUGAAUCCUGAAAGUUUUCAUGUGAUUUUAAUUAUACUUAUUUUUGUAAAAAAACAAUUUAAAAAACAUUAACAGACCAAAGAGUUGCGUAAAUAAGUAAGAUGUACUAUAUGCCAUGAAUUUUUCUUGCCACUUCAUAUGGAUGUGACUUGUAUAUAAGUAGUAUUUUAAAAAAAUAUUUUUAGUUGUAGAUGGACACAGUACCUUUAUUUUAUUUAUAUGUGGUACUGAGGAUCAAACCCAGUGCCUUACACAUGGUAGGCAAGCACUCUAUCACUGAGCUAGAGCCCCAGCUCAUGUAAGUUGUAUUUCCUCCUAGGAUUUCAGUUUCCCUCUACCUAAUAUCAACAGUAGCUGUCUGAUGGGCUUUCCUUUCUCUUAAAAACUCUUAAAAGGCAGUCACUUGCCCUCUGACUAAAUACCUUUCUUCCCUUUCCCCCUUCAUUUUCAUGUUUAAGAAUCCAGUUGCCUUCAGGGACAAAAAGGCUUGGCUUUCUUGGUCCAGUCUGACAGGUCCUGCCUUAGUUCUUCACUUUUUAAAUGUUACUCUUCCCACUUUGUCUUAUUUGAGAAGGUCUCAUGACAUUCUCACAAACACACUUUCUCCUUUGUUCUUUAGUUUGCGCUACUUAGAAUACAUUUAACCAGACUCUUAAGUCCUAAUCUAAGCUCAGCUUUUAAAAAUUUGUUCUAAUCAGUUAUACAUGACAGCAGAAUGCUCUUUGAAUCAUUAUACACAAAUGGAGCACAAUUUUUCACUUCUCUGUACAUGAAGUAGAGUAUCACACCAUUCGUGCAAUCAUAUGUGUACCUAUGGUAAUGAUGUCCAUCUCAUUCCACUAUCUCUCUUACCCCUGUGUCCCCUCCCCUCCUAAUCCUCCCUUUUGCCCAAUCCAAAGCUCCUCCUCUCAACCCCCCCCCCAUUAUAUAUUAGCAUCCACUUAUCAGAGAAAACAUUUGGCUUUUGGGUUUUUGGUACUGUAAGCCCUGCUUUUUGAUAAGGAAUCUCCAUUCCCUCCAAAUGAGGAAAUUGUAUAGUAGACUAAAAUAUCUCCUGAAAGGAAGGUUAUUAGAAAAUAGACUCUAAUACUUAACUUCAUGGAAAAUUUGACAGGAAUAAUAUUUUUCAUACUGAGUAAUACUAAACAGUUUCCUUAUGGGUAGUGGAGCCUACUGUAUACAUUACAAGUUUGAGCAGUUAUUUACUGUUACUGUCAAAAUGAAACCAAUCAGUGUUGGCAAUGGUAGACCACUCCACCAUUAUUUCUUUUUUUUAAUUCCAGGACAGUAGUUGGUUUAAAUAUUAGUGACAUCAUUAUUAGUUGUAUUUUUUGAUUUUCUACGAUAAACAUGGUUUUGAAAUAAUAUUCAGGUGAAACUUCUCAUUAAGUCAAUCUUUGUCCUUCCUUACUGAUAUCUGCUGGGCAUCUCCAUGCUUAUUUUCAGAACAAACCACCCUCUACUCACCUGCUGUUCACUAGUCUUGGUAAAUUCUGUCACUAUUCACUCAGUUGUUAAAACCAGAAAUCAAGGAAUUAUCCUUGAUUUCUCUCAUCUGCUCUUCCCAGUGUAGACUCUUUGAUCAAGGGACGUCUUUAAUUAAGUUCCUUUAUUACCAAAAUAUAUCUUGAGUUUGGCUGCAUACUUCGUUUUCAACUCGUAAAGAAAUGAUAUACAAUAGUUAAGAGCAUGGGCCUGUCUACAUUUGAGUUCUAGAUGUGCAGCCACGGCUUUAGGCCAGCUUUGUAACUUUUCUGUUUGUUUCCUUAGUAAAUGAGGUUAAAUCUAUCUACUUUGUGGUAUUAUUGUAAGGACUAAGUAAAUUAAUAAAUAUAAGCUAUCAAAUGAAUAAAUAUGAAACACUUGGAAAGGUGCUUGGUCCGGAUAUACUUAAUAAAUACUAAUUGCUUUCAUCAUCAUCACCUUCAUCUCCAUUCAGUAGUUGAGGCCUUUAUGAGAUUUUUCACCUUUACCACUGCAAUAGCUACUGGUCUAGGUUUCCCCCCUUAGAGUUUGUUCACCAUAGAGCAGUUAGAAUGCUCCUUUAUAAAAAGCAUUAAUGCCCUGGAUGCAAUGACACAUGUCUGUAAUUCCAGCACCUCAGAGGCUGAGACAGGAGAAUUGCAGAUUUGAAGCCAGUGUCAGCAGCUCAUAAAGCCCUAAGCAAUCUAACAAGACCCUUUCUCUGAAUAGAAAAGGACUGGGGCUGUAGCUCAGUGGUAAACUACCCUGGGUUCAAUCCCUGAUCCCCCCCUUCCCAUAAAUAAAAACUAUUAAUGCCAUUUUUACCAAGACCCUGCUUGAAUUUGGAAUAAAGUAAGGAAUUAUACUUAGAGGUUUUUGUUUUUGUUUUUGUUUUUUUUACAUAUAGGUAUUCUAAUAAUUUACUAGGCUUGCAAGGCUAUAGGUGCUCUUUUACCUGUCUGUGUCUCUAACUUCAGAUCCUACUUCCCAUUCUUAAAAUCACUGGGCUCCACCACAGAGUAGUCUCUCUUUCCUUUGAAUAUACCUGGCUUAUUAUUCCUCCUUUGGUCUUCUCAUUACUAUUUUUGCUGCCCUUCUUCUCCUAAAUCUUCAGUAGCUGACUUCCCUUUAUUCUUCAUGUCAGUAGGAUAAGGAUCCAUUAGGGAAAUAACUUUACAUGACUUGUGUCACCAUUCUAUUCUUAGUACCUAGAAUAGUGCCUGGCAUGUGGUAGCUGCUCAGUAAAUGAAUUAAUAAAAAUGAGAUUUUUUUUUAAAAGUGUACUCUUCUUAAAUUUGUUUGUGUACAUGAUGGCCACUAAAAGCACAAUAGAAUAAGUCAUACACUUGGGUUCAAAUUCUCAUACUGUCAUGUAGUGCAUGUGAAUCUCAGGAAAAAUUACCUAAGUUCUCUUAGCCUAAUAGUCUUCAUUUAUAAAUGAGUAGCAGUUGUCUUAGAGAGUUAGUGGGAGAUUAAAUGAGAUGUUCUUGUGAAGAACAGCACUCUAUUAAUGUUGAUUAAUAUAUUACACACACACACACACACACACACACACACACACUGUGAUUCUUCCAUUCAGCAGAUAUUUAAUGACACUGCUGUGAGCCAGGCACCAUUCCAAACAUUGUGGAUACAGAAUGAAACCAAAGCACUUCCUCUUAUGGAGCUUUCCUUCUAGUGGGGGAAGAGAAAUUAUAAAUGUGACAGAUGGUGAUAAGUGCUGUGAAGAAAAUAAAAAUCAUACAAGGGACAGAAAGUAACAAGGAUGAGGGUACUAUUUUGAUAGGAUACUCUUGUAAGCAGUGAACAGAGUGAAGCAAGUCCACCAGCCAUAUAGAUAUCUGAAGGCAAGAGUUCCAGGCACUGCAAAGGUUGGAGGUUGGAGCAAGUCUGUUUAUUCCAGUGCGCAAUAAGUAGCACACUGUGCCUGCUAAUGCAGGGGAUGGUGGAAAGAGAGGGUGCUGAAGGUUAGGAUCUCACAGCACUUUGUCCACCUGCCAGUGACUUUGGAUUUUAUUCUCACUUUAGUAAGUCUAUAUUUGGGGGAAUAAACCUUCUCCUUUGUGGUAAGGUAUUUUUACUCUUGGGGGAGGGACGUGGUUUCUGUCAUGUAUAAUGGAGCAGGGAAUUGAAGUGAGACUAUAGUAUAUCCCCUAGAACCUAAUCUAAAAAUCAUAGAGUGGUUUAGUAGGAUUUGUUGUAGUAUGCAUUAUAGUUUCUGUGGGCCUAUUUGGAUAUCAUUAAGGAAAGGCAUAAUGUUGUUAUCCAUCCAUUUUUAAAAAUCAAAUGGUUUUGAAAAAAGACUUAUUUUUUACCCUCUGAAAAAGCAGUUAACUGUUGGCUUAUUUUCUAAUGUCACUGUUUCUAGUAGGGUCAUUAUGUUUGGGAAAAUUUAGAUUUAGAAUUGUGAUUUAAUUGGUGAUUUGUAGCAAUUACAGCUGAUUCUUGAGAUGGGUAGGAUGUGGGUGUCAAGAAAUUGGCAGGCAAGAAUGAAUUUCCUUACCAGAUUUGCUGCUUGUAGACUGUGCAGAGGCUAUAAAAAGACUUGGUGGGGAUAGUAAAUAGAAGAUUCCGUGUUGGGGAUGGGAGAGUAAGGAUCAUCUGCAUCAGCUUCUGCAGAGUAUUUUACAAGGCAAAUUCUUUAAGAAAUGUUGUAGGAUCAAAAUCUUCCCUAGCCCACCUUUCCUUUCCUUUUCCCAUAGUGCUGGGGAUCAAACACAGUGCCUUGUGUGUGGCAGGCAAACACUAUUAGGACCUAACUUUUUCAUAACAAAGUCUCUGAAUAAGUUUCUCAAGUUAUUUUUUGUAAAAUAAUUCAUGUGUUGACAAAAUUCAAAAAGGAACAGAACUAGGAAUAAUAACUAUAUGGUGACUGCAGUUACGUCAAAAUUUCCACUUAUUCUAUGGCUCAUUGUCGUUGUUCACUAGAUAUAUUUUCUUCUAUUUGACUAUGUAGUAAUCUAGAUUUUUUAAAAAACAAAACUAUAAGUGAAAAUAUUUAAAGGGAUUUUGAAACUUCAACAUUAGACUUGCAUGUGUAGCCUGUAGUUCUGUUGGCUCCAUAAUAAUCUAAACCAUUCACAUUCAUUUUUAAUUACUUUAUAUUUGCUUUAUAAAAAUGUUUUCCUAUUGUUUUAUUUUUCCCAGAAUAGCCUUUUCCUUAUCAGUAAUUAUAGUGUGUGGUCACAAAAGAAGUGUAGGCUUUAAACCUUUUUAUGUUAAAAACAGGAACUCUCUGGUUAAAUGAAAUCUUGUGGGAACCCCAUUUGUAAAGUGACUGAGAUUGUAGGUGUUGUUACAACACAGGACCUGUGGUGCCAUCCUAAGUUCUUCUCCAAGAACACCUAGAGCUCAUUACCCUCUCUGAUCUGCUUUCCACAUUUGUAAAAUAGGAAUGAUGGUACCUGUCAUAAUGUCUGAUUCAUGGAGGUCUAUAACUAAUGUUCUUUCCCUUCCUCCUUUUACUGUAACUUCCUCAUGCUGUUAGUAUGUUCAUACACCACUUAUUUUUCUGAUUAAGGUCACCUGGAUGGAUAUUCUAUUGUGUGACCAGAUUUUUUACAGUGGAGAUAUUGUCUCCAAAAAUACUGUGCUUUAUGUAUUGUUGCCUAAAAUAUUCAUUAAAGAUUCUGAAGCUGCUGUCUCUGCCCUGAGUGACAGCAUCAUCUGUUUGGUGGCAGUACUGCAGACCCAGUUAUUUUAAAUGUACUUAGAAAUAUAAAAUGUAAUUAAGUACAUAAAUGCUAUUAUUUUCAAGCAGAAUUCUUCCUAGAACGUUUUAGCUUCCUGGGUUAUUUCAGUGUGUUUAGUGUUUGUUUGUUUUUGUUUUUAAUUUAGCUGCAGAUGUUCACAAUAUCUUUAUUUUAUUUAUUUAUUUUAAUGUGGUAAGUGGGCUUAGAACUCAGAACCUCACACAUGUUAGGCAAGUGGUCUAUCACUAAGCUAUAACUCAGCCCCAGUGUUUAGUUUUGAAGAUUUUCCUAGGGAAAAAGAGGAAGUUGACUAUUAUUCUGUUGCUUGUUGACCCUCAUUAUGAAGACUGGUAUUUCUAUAGCUCUGUUCUCAAACUAGCAAAUAUUAUUUGAGUAAUUAAGUCAUCUGGUUAGAUGAGAUUUUCUUUUCAUUAACAUUUUGUGUUUUUUAUAGGUAGACCACUUAAUGAGCUUUGAUCUCAGGUUUCUAUUGAGAUUGGUUUUUAAAUUAUUCUCUAAGAAAUAAAAAUCUUAGAAAUAAUAUUGUCACAAAUGAAUUAUGAAAACCGAAAUCUCCUUAAGAGCCAAAUUUAUGAAUUAAAGAAUUGGUAGAUCUGGGGCUUAGGCUUUAGCUCAGUGGUAGAGCAGUUUGUCUCACGCAUGUGAGGCACUGGGUUCGAUCUUCAGCACCAGAUAAAAAGAAAUAAAGAUACUGUGUUCAUCUACAACUAAAAAAUAAUUUAAAGAAUAUGUUAAAAAAAAGAAUUGGUAGAUUCAUCUUCCAUUUUCCAGAGUGGAAUGCCCUAAUUUAUAUAUAAUUAGGGUGAAAGAUUAAGAAGUAGGGAUUAUUAGUUUCUAAUAAGGUUGUUGAGGAGCUGUGGCCCUUCCCAAUCUUAGGCCUAAGGAAUUUAUUUGAUCUGAUUUUCAACAUCUUUAGAACUACAUCAAUUUGUCUUAAUUUUAAACAUUUGAAUUUUUCUGCAAAUUUUAUAUAGUGAAAUAAAUUAAAUAUUCACUUUCAUAAAACCUUAUCAGGUAAUUUUCAUAAGGAUCACAGAGGUUUUUUUUUUUUUUUUUUUUGGUUUCUACUUUAGCAAUGGAAGAUACUCUCUUUCUUAAACUAUAUCCUAAAAAUUUCAUUGUGUAUAUAUACCACAUUUUCUUUAUCCAUUCAUUUGUUGAAGGGUUUCUAGGUUGGUUCCAUAGUUUGGCUAUUGUGAAUUGAGUGCUUUGAUCAUUGAUGUGGCUGUGUCACUGUAUUAUGCUGAUUUUAAGUCCUUUGGGUAUAAACUGAGGAGUUGGAUAGUUGGAUAGCUGGGUCAAAUGGUGGUUCUAGUCCAAGUUUUCUGAGUAAUUGCCAUAUUGCUCUCCAUAAUGAGUUAUUUUUCAUUCAUCCUCACCAACAUUUAUUGUUGCUUGUAUUCUUGAUAAUUGCCAUUCUGACUGGGUGGAGCUGGGGAAUAUCUUGCUAAGUGAAAUAAGCCAAUCCCCCAAAACAAAGGCUGAAUAUUUUCUCUGAUAUGCAGAUGCUAAUUCAUAAUAAGGGGGUGGCUAGAGAAAAAUAGAGGUACUUUGAAUUAGGCAGAGGGGAGUGGAGGGAGUGAAGGGGAUAUGGGAGUAGGAAGGAUAGUCGAAUGAAUCAGACAUUAUUACCCUAUAUACCUAUAUGAUUCCACAACUGCUGUGAUUCUACAUCAUGUACAACCAGAAGAAUGAAAAGUUAUACUCCAUUUAUGUAUGAUCUGUUGGAGUGCAUUCUGCUGUCAUGUAUAACUAAUUAGAACAAAUAAACAAAUUCAAAAAAACAUUAAAAAUCCUAAAAAUUUCAACACUGUCUCCAUUAAUGACUUCUAGUUUUUAAAAAUAAUAUAAUUUAUGGUUUUGAAGUUUGAUACCAGAGAGUUGUACUAUAUAUCAGAGCACAUACCACAAGUUACAUUUAUAACUUUUCAUUCAACACAAAUGUCUGUAUUUCAGAUGGAGCAGCUUUCAGAUGA